CGGUAUCGCCUUACCUCCCGUGUCACACACUGACCCCUACAGCGGUUGCGCAUAGCCACUCUGCUGCAUUUUUUGAAUAUGCUGGGAGGGAGGCAGCUAGCAGAAUUUAGGGGUUUAGUUACACUUCAAAAUCUCAUUCACACACAAAAACAUCACACACGUGUCAUUUAACAAGCUAGUUUAAUAUGGAAAUAUUUGCGCAAGUAACGUCUUGUCUUGUUUAGACAACAUGAAAAUGCGUGUUAACGUAAAAUAUUUCUACACGUUAACACAACAAAAAUUGACGUCUUAACGUGGCUUUUCUGGUAGUGGCCAAUCAGGGACCCUGAAUGAAGGCACUCGUACAUAUUCAUGAGGAAGAUGGAAUCAAUGAUGUCGAACCACAACGCAAGUGAGCAUGGGACCUACGUUUGUGCAUAAAUUACUAAUGUGGGCAUCCAGGCACACGUUACAGGAAUCUACGUAUACCGCAAAGGAAAUUCUGUGUAUGAAACGUAAACCAGAAUUUAGGUUUAGAAGAAGCCAAUCUAAACUUUCAGCGGGGAAACAGCGAAGAUUCAGAUUGAAGUGGAGAAGAAAGCUAGUUUGGUGAUGGCUCUGUGGAAGUUUUUGUGCAAUUGCAACCGCACAUUUAGGGAGUGCACAAGACUAGCAACAUCGGACGAUGGGGCAACAGACCAAGCAGCUUUGGCAAGAAUGCAAACAAUGGAAGCAAGUCUCCGGUGGGCAAGAGGAAGACAUGUUGAGCCGGAGUUAGCUGACCAGUUGUUGGAUCUGAUCUUGGAAUUUUGUCAGGAGAUUGGGGAAGAUCAACCACGGCCUCGAUUCUUGGUUAGGAAUGCUUAAGUCUAAAAAGGAGCAAAACCCACUUGUCAGUCCUGAGGUAGAGUACAGUACUGUCGGUGUCUUCAGCAGAAGGGAACUCAUCACAGGCACAACAACCAGCAAAGGAAGCCAUGAUGGCUGCUGUCGGGGAUGCUGCAAUUCAAGUAGUAACCACCCUAAAGCCUGCUGCACACUACAAGCUUUUGCCUCAAGACAAACAACUCUUGCAAUUUAAGUUCAAUAAGGUCGUAGUAAUUGUUACUGUUGAUCAUCCUAACUGUUAGAGAGACUGGAGCUUCAGGAGCUACAAACCAGAAGCCCACACCUUGCUCAGACAAUGUUAAGAAUUUAUCUGUGAUAACACAAAGGAAAAUCAAUGUCUGUGUGCUACAUUUGUAUUCACUUUACAUUAUUAAAUAAAAAUCAAAAACUGGUUCUAAUUUAAUGAUUACGUUUUAUUUUUUUCUGUCUUACUAGACAGCUGCUGGAGAUUCUCUUUGCCACAGUGAUAUCUCCUUAAUUGCCAAUGUGCCGAAGGCUCCAACACCUGUGCUGCUGGUGAGCGGGAACCCCUUUAGUGCUGGAGGUGAAAUCUCUCUUCACAUAGAGGAGCCAGAUGAUAUCUCAGUGGGAUUUGGUGCCCUACUGGGGAUCUAUUUCAUCUUUGGAGUUAGAUAUGCAGAGAAUACAAGGAAGACUGUUAUUUUUAUCCACCAGUGAAUGGUUGGUAUGAAGUCAAGUUCCAAUAGGAGUCAUUAUUCACCUAUACAGAUAUUGAUACACAGACAUUUUGUCAGCUGCCUGUGAUUAUUUUGAGACAUUAUAUUGUUGUUAUAUUGAGUACACACACACAUAUUUUUAUGGGAACAAGUACAAAACAGUGAGCCUCAUAUGAGUCCUCACACACAAGCGCGCACGCACUCACACACACACUCUCUUUCUCUCUAGUUCUGAGUCAAGUCCAUUGUAUUGAAUUCUUGGAUUAAUGGAUUUAUUGACAUUAUUAAAGGAGCUCAGCCUAUUACUUAGCUACUAAGAUGUCCAACCCAGGAGUGACCUGAUUGACGAGCUUAGCUUUAGCUUGAUGUUACUGUUCAUUGUGUGUUGCGUUCAGUACAGAAUCCACAGGGCGUUGUUUGGUUGCAGAAUAACAAUCUCUUUAUUUCCUCCACCGUGCUUAAAUGUGAACAAAGUGCAUUUUCCAGUUUCAUCGAAAACCAAACACUCUUCCUACAGCAUGACAAACAAACUUUUUAGCGCCACAGCGUUCUUUUGCCCUUCCGAGGUCAAACACCUGAUGACAGGAGUGACUUCCUACCUUGACUUAACAUGAGCUCUUGAUAGUAGCACAGCAACACCCAAUGUACAAAAAAGGAAAUAAUUACAUUCAGGUUAUUUCAACAAUGUAUUUGGUUCUUACAGCCAAUAUAUAAUGUUUAUUGUAUUUAUUCCUGUGUAAUAUUUUGUAUUUAUUGAGUUUUCAGGAUUUAUUUUUUGCAAAU
Siniperca chuatsi (mandarin fish) is the source of this 2327-nucleotide long non-coding RNA. RefSeq lists it as uncharacterized. The record is from RefSeq and is a predicted model, not a curated record. The transcript has 5 exons. NCBI's taxonomy places the organism in Eukaryota, Metazoa, Chordata, Actinopteri, Centrarchiformes, Sinipercidae.